This 238-nucleotide ribosomal RNA is filed under the name uncultured Bacillota bacterium. RNAcentral's name for it is "uncultured Firmicutes bacterium partial 16S ribosomal RNA". It matches the Rfam family "Bacterial small subunit ribosomal RNA", at positions 100 to 334 of the family's 1533-position model. The record is from RNAcentral. Lineage: Bacteria; Bacillati; Bacillota.
GGACGGGUGGAGUAACGCGUGGGUAACCGUGCCUCAUACAGGGGGAGUAACAGUUAGAAAUGGCUGCUAAUACCGCAUAAGCGCACAGUGCCGCAUGGCACGGUGUGAAAAACUACCGGUGGUAUGAGAUGGACCCGCGUCUGAUUAGCUAGUUGGUAAGGUAACGGCUUACCAAGGCGACGAUCAGUAGCCGGCCUGAGAGGGUGAACGGCCACAUUGGGACUGAGACACGGCCCAA